CACUUAUCGUGGUGGGAGACAGUGUCAGGCGGGCAGUUUGACUGGGGCGGUCGCCUCCUAAAAGGUAACGGAGGCGCUCAAAGGUUCCCUCAGAAUGGUUGGAAAUCAUUCAUAGAGUGUAAAGGCAUAAGGGAGCUUGACUGCGAAACCUACAAGUCGAGCAGGGUCGAAAGACGGACUUAGUGAUCCGGUGGUUCCGCAUGGAAGGGCCAUCGCUCAACGGAUAAAAGCUACCCCGGGGAUAACAGGCUUAUCUCCCCCAAGAGUUCACAUCGACGGGGAGGUUUGGCACC
This 293-nucleotide ribosomal RNA is filed under the name Staphylococcus hominis. RNAcentral describes it as "partial 23S ribosomal RNA". It matches the Rfam family "Bacterial large subunit ribosomal RNA", at positions 2233 to 2525 of the family's 2925-position model. The record is from RNAcentral. Lineage: Bacteria; Bacillati; Bacillota; Bacilli; Caryophanales; Staphylococcaceae.